This 789-nucleotide ribosomal RNA is filed under the name Streptomyces sp. 13-16. RNAcentral's name for it is "bacterial SSU rRNA". It matches the Rfam family "Bacterial small subunit ribosomal RNA", at positions 56 to 859 of the family's 1533-position model. RNAcentral also lists the same sequence under 1 other name. The record is from RNAcentral. Lineage: Bacteria; Bacillati; Actinomycetota; Actinomycetes; Kitasatosporales; Streptomycetaceae.
UGCAAGUCGUACGAUGGUCCCCUUAAGUGGGGAUUAGUGGCGAACGGGUGAGUAACACGUGGGCAAUCUGCCCUGCACUCUGGGACAAGCCCUGGAAACGGGGUCUAAUACCGGAUACUGACCAUCUUGGGCAUCUUUGAUGGUCGAAAGCUCCGGCGGUGCAGGAUGAGCCCGCGGCCUAUCAGCUAGUUGGUGAGGUAAUGGCUCACCAAGGCGACGACGGGUAGCCGGCCUGAGAGGGCGACCGGCCACACUGGGACUGAGACACGGCCCAGACUCCUACGGGAGGCAGCAGUGGGGAAUAUUGCACAAUGGGCGAAAGCCUGAUGCAGCGACGCCGCGUGAGGGAUGACGGCCUUCGGGUUGUAAACCUCUUUCAGCAGGGAAGAAGCGAAAGUGACGGUACCUGCAGAAGAAGCGCCGGCUAACUACGUGCCAGCAGCCGCGGUAAUACGUAGGGCGCAAGCGUUGUCCGGAAUUAUUGGGCGUAAAGAGCUCGUAGGCGGCUUGUCACGUCGGUUGUGAAAGCCCGGGGCUUAACCCCGGGUCUGCAGUCGAUACGGGCAGGCUAGAGUUCGGUAGGGGAGAUCGGAAUUCCUGGUGUAGCGGUGAAAUGCGCAGAUAUCAGGAGGAACACCGGUGGCGAAGGCGGAUCUCUGGGCCGAUACUGACGCUGAGGAGCGAAAGCGUGGGGAGCGAACAGGAUUAGAUACCCUGGUAGUCCACGCCGUAAACGGUGGGCACUAGGUGUGGGCAACAUUCCACGUUGUCCGUGCCGCAGCUAACGCA